This 253-nucleotide ribosomal RNA is filed under the name uncultured bacterium. RNAcentral's name for it is "partial 16S ribosomal RNA". It matches the Rfam family "Bacterial small subunit ribosomal RNA", at positions 524 to 776 of the family's 1533-position model. RNAcentral also lists the same sequence under 1 other name. The record is from RNAcentral.
UACGUAGGGUGCAAGCGUUAAUCGGAAUUACUGGGCGUAAAGCGUGCGCAGGCGGUUGUGCAAGACAGAUGUGAAAUCCCCGGGCUCAACCUGGGAACUGCAUUUGUGACUGCACGGCUAGAGUGUGUCAGAGGGGGGUAGAAUUCCACGUGUAGCAGUGAAAUGCGUAGAUAUGUGGAGGAAUACCGAUGGCGAAGGCAGCCCCCUGGGAUAACACUGACGCUCAUGCACGAAAGCGUGGGGAGCAAACAGG